GUAGUCCACGCCGUAAACGAUGUCAACUAGCCGUUGGGAACCCUAGUGUUCUUGGUGGCGCAGCUAACGCGAUAAGUUGACCGCCUGGGGAGUACGGUCGCAAGAUUAAAACUCAAAUGAAUUGACGGGGGCCCGCACAAGCGGUGGAGCAUGUGGUUUAAUUCGACGCAACGCGAAGAACCUUACCAGGUCUUGACAUCCAGAGAACUUUCCAGAGAUGGAUUGGUGCCUUCGGGAACUCUGAGACAGGUGCUGCAUGGCUGUCGUCAGCUCGUGUCGUGAGAUGUUGGGUUAAGUCCCGUAACGAGCGCAACCCUUAUCCUUAUUUGCCAGCGGGUCAUGCCGGGAAC
This 350-nucleotide ribosomal RNA is filed under the name uncultured bacterium. Its description in RNAcentral is "bacterial SSU rRNA". It matches the Rfam family "Bacterial small subunit ribosomal RNA", at positions 790 to 1138 of the family's 1533-position model. The record is from RNAcentral.